AGUGAACGCUGGCGGUAGGCCUAACACAUGCAAGUCGAACGGCAGCACAGUAAGAGCUUGCUCUUACGGGUGGCGAGUGGCGGACGGGUGAGGAAUACAUCGGAAUCUACUUUUUCGUGGGGGAUAACGUAGGGAAACUUACGCUAAUACCGCAUACGACCUACGGGUGAAAGCAGGGGAUCUUCGGACCUUGCGCGAUUGAAUGAGCCGAUGUCGGAUUGGCUAGUUGGCGGGGGAAAGGCCCACCAAGGCGACGAUCCGUAGCUGGUCUGAGAGGAUGAUCAGCCACAAUGGAACUGAGAAACGGUCCAGACUCCUACGGGAGGCAGCAGUGGGGAAUAUUGGACAAUGGGCGCAAGCCUGAUCCAGCCAUACCGCGUGGGUGAAGAAGGCCUUCGGGUUGUAAAGCCCUUUUGUUGGGAAAGAAAAGCAGCAGGUUAAUACCCCGCUGUUCUGACGGUACCCAAAGAAUAAGCACCGGCUAACUUCGUG
This 492-nucleotide ribosomal RNA is filed under the name uncultured bacterium. Its description in RNAcentral is "partial 16S ribosomal RNA". It matches the Rfam family "Bacterial small subunit ribosomal RNA", at positions 29 to 507 of the family's 1533-position model. The record is from RNAcentral.